RNAcentral lists this long non-coding RNA (1913 nucleotides) under Monodelphis domestica (gray short-tailed opossum). Its description in RNAcentral is "lncRNA (ENSMODG00000041251.1)". Lineage: Eukaryota; Metazoa; Chordata; Mammalia; Didelphimorphia; Didelphidae. The record is from RNAcentral.
AAUUUUGAGUCACCAAAGCUUUCCCUGACAUAAAUAAGAAACUAAUAAAGAUUGAGGGAUGGUAAAUAGUCAGGGCCAAGAACUAGAGUACCACAAAUUAUUGAAAAGAGUUUUAGAAAGUCUGAUAGAAAUUUUGUUAAUGUUAAUGUACAUAUUAAUGGCCACCAAAGAUACUUUUGAGGUUAGAGAGGAAACAGCCUGGUGGAUGAGGAAGCUAAGAGAGUUGCUUUUUUAGAAGAACCUAAGGAAAAGUUGAUGGCCUUGAUACCUACUGUCCCAACUGAAAUAAAACCCCCCACCUUUCUCAAAGAAGGAAGAGGAAAAAAUUAAGGAGAUGGAAGCAGAACCCUCCACAGAAGGGAAAUGGGUGUCCCUCCAAUGGGAGGGUUAGGGUUAGGAAGGGUAAAAUAUCUUCUAGUAAUAGUGGAUCAUUUAACAGGAUGGGUUGAGACCUACCCUACCUCAAAAACAACUUCCCAAGCUGUGACCAAUACCAUCUUUGAACAACACAUCAUUCCAAGGUACAGAAGAGAGUAUUAGCCCAAACUCUACCUCUCAAGUUUCCUGUGCACCAGCUAAGACCAGGAGAUUGGGCACUAAUAAAGAUCUGAAAGGAGGAAAAACUGGACCCCAAUUGGGAAGAACCCUUUCUCAUGCUUUUAACAACUGAGACUGCAAUUGAUGACAAUGAGGGAGCUCCCAGAGACACCGCACAGAGCAUCCGGAAGACUGCGUACGGACCAGUACAGAAAUGGGAUUCUUGGCUUGAUAGCACUUGGUGGGAAUUGGUGGAAGCAGCUCAGUUUCUUUCUGAUUUGCGCUCUAGGGCCUUUGUUAAUAUUCCUUGCUUAAUACCCUGCAUUAUAGGACCGAGUCCAAAAACAGUUGAGAUUAUGCAGCUGUUAGCGUGGAUAUAACGCAGAACUACUAAAGUAGUCAGAAAAACCAAGUCUUUAAUCAGGGAAGAGAAGUCCAAUGAUCACCCCAAACUAUUCAGAGGCAACACCCUGGGAGCAUGCACCCUCUACAUGAUUUCUCCAAAGAACAAUAGAACUUGGGAAACUUCUAUACCUUUGGGAGAACUAAGGACAGGGAAGUAUGAUGGAUUGGCGUUACCAUGGCUACAAGGAAAUGAGAAGUCCAAGUCAGGAUUAACCGGGAGAGGCUGAUGCUUUACAAUGGACACAAAAGGGGAAAGUCCAUCCGAGAGCUGAGGUACCAGGGAGAGGACUUUGAUACAAUGGGAGAAACUACUAAAAGACAUUUGAUUUAGGUCUACCUAAAGGCCUAUUCUGUCUGAAAUGGGUGAGUUCUCAGGGGCCAGGGGCAGACUUGGGGUCUCCAGAUUUCAGAAGAAAUUUAUAACAUGGAAGGAGAGGAGUCCAACUAGCAAACAGAAAGAGGGGCAGGAACCUAUAAAAUUGUGGACUCCUCUCACAAAGAUGCAAAAUGGAGCCAAAGUAGGAAGACUUCAGGCCUUGUCACCUAAGUUUCCAUCAAAACAAGUUUCUUGUUCCCAACCUAAGCCCUAGUUUCCUCAAACCAAUGAGACACAAACUGAUUGAUAGGCUAUCCCCAUAAAAAGGCUAUAGGAUAUGCAGAUAGAUAGGAUUGAAACAGUCCUUGUUUUGAUUGGUUAAAGCUUGCUUGAAUAAUUAGGAUAAUUUAGUUUUUCAAAGUACUCCUGAUUAGCUAGCUUUCUGGGAAAAGAUUGUAACUCUCAAGUAACCAGCCAAUGGUGAAUGAGGGGAGGGACCAUCAGUAUCAAUCUCAGGGUCUAGGGUAAAAGGAGCCUGUGUGCUCCCAUCCUUUGUAUUUACCUGCUGGCUAAGCCUCUUGUAGCACUCACUUGGGAGCACCCAUUCUCUCAAAGAUGAAAUAAAAGAGCUUUUGACACAAUGAUAUGAAGUUCA